UUCACUAUACCAACUCUGGUCUUAAGGAGCCUGCAUUGCCAAAGGAGUUAGGCUUUGAAAGGGAAUCAGCAGAGGGAUGUCUCAGAGUUAAGGACCUGGGGAGAUCGUUUUGUCAUCUUUUGUUUGUUUCUAAAAUCAAAACUGGAAAGUGUUAAAAUUUGUGGCAUGAACUGGACAGAUGGCUGAUGGGUAAUCACUGUACUCAUAUGACUGGACUAAUGAAUCAUGUGCUAUAAAAGCCAAGAGGCUGUGAUACUCAUCACAUUCUUGGGGUGACUGCAAUCAUUUUGUGGGUUACAAAAGAGUCCUUCCCAUUCUAAUGGUCUUGGCAUUGAAGCAUUAAAGAGAACGACACAAAGGUCUGAACACCUGACUAUAUUUGCAUCUUUUCCUUGCCAUAUGUGUGGAAUGAUUUCACCAUUAACAUCUUUGCAACUUACAGGUGAAUUAGCAAGUUCAUUGUGGCCAUACUCCUCCCUGCAUUGAUUAAUGGCAGAAGAGAGACUGCUUCCAGAGUCUCUGGUUUUCUUUCUACGGAUCUGUAGCUCUGUUGUAGGGAUGAUGUCAGGAGCUCUGUGGUCCUGUGGAAAUUGGACUGCUGCUCCCAGCUCUGUACCAAGGAUGAAGUGGGGACAUUAUACAUCAGCAAAGUACCAGGUGUUUGUUUCCCAAGUGGGAGAUCAGGCUAAUGCCCACCGUUCUGACACCCAGAGUCCUCUUUAUAGCCACUGUCAAGGGAACUGUGUGGAUUUCACCUUCCUAAUUUGAAAACCUGAACUCCUCUCUCCUCAAAUAUUUCUUCGACUAAUCAUUUCCCUUUCCUUCUCAGAAUUCCCCUGACUUAUCUUAAAUAUGUAAAAGAAUGUAAAUAGGAUGACACAUCUUUUGAAGAAUGAGGUGUUCUACGUUAAUGGAUUUUCCAGGUGAAAUUGGCACCAUGCCGUGUUUGCGUUAAUAAUGUCAUAGAAAUGGUCAUAAGUUGUAGUAGACAGACAAUCUUUUGAUUCCCUAGGAAUAUUUAUAUGAGGUGGAUAAUUUAAACUUUUCUUGAUUAAUUAUGAACAAUUGCUGCACUAUAUUACAGAACAUAGUGAUUCUCCC
This is a non-coding RNA of Peromyscus maniculatus bairdii (prairie deer mouse), 1101 nucleotides long. The record is from RefSeq and is a predicted model, not a curated record. Lineage: Eukaryota; Metazoa; Chordata; Mammalia; Rodentia; Cricetidae.